AACACUGUCACAUUCACAACCCAGGAGUUGUUGUUGUUGCCUCUUAGGAACAAGUCGGGUUCUGAUAUCUGGAGAAAAGCCUGGAACCAGAAGUGCCAGCUGUGAAACAGAGCAUGAUCGGUUUGCCGUGGGCAGCACAGAGCUCCCUCUGACCAAGAGGAACCAGACUGCUGAGUGG
Long non-coding RNA from Poecilia latipinna (sailfin molly), 178 nucleotides. RefSeq lists it as uncharacterized. The transcript has 2 exons. NCBI's taxonomy places the organism in Eukaryota, Metazoa, Chordata, Actinopteri, Cyprinodontiformes, Poeciliidae. The record is from RefSeq and is a predicted model, not a curated record.